CGCGUAGGUGGUUCGACAAGUUGGAUGUGAAAGCCCAGGGCUCAACCCUGGAAUUGCAUUCAAGACUGUCUUACUUGAAUUCGGUAGAGGUUGGUGGAAUUCCCAGUGUAGAGGUGAAAUUCGUAGAGAUUGGGAAGAAUACCCGUGGCGAAGGCGGCCAACUGGACCGACAUUGACACUGAGGCGCGAAAGCGUGGGGAUCAAACA
Molecule: ribosomal RNA, 207 nt
Filed under: uncultured bacterium
Lineage: Bacteria
Description: partial 16S ribosomal RNA
Rfam family: Bacterial small subunit ribosomal RNA
Source: RNAcentral